UGGACCGAUGAUGACGGCUGGUGGCGUAUGAGUCAUGGAUGAUGAAUACUGUGUGUCGGGAACUCUGAGGUCCAA
This is a small nucleolar RNA of Ailuropoda melanoleuca (giant panda), 75 nucleotides long. Ensembl annotates it as small nucleolar RNA, C/D box 114-2. Lineage: Eukaryota; Metazoa; Chordata; Mammalia; Carnivora; Ursidae. The record is from Ensembl.